CCCUUAGAGUUUGAUCCUGGCUCAGGACGAACGCUGGCGGCGUGCCUAACACAUGCAAGUCGAACGAGUCCAGGUCUUCGGACCUGAGGCGAGUGGCGGACGGGUGAGUAACACGUGAGCAAUCUAUCCUGUUGCGGGGGACAACGAGGGGAAACCUUCGCUAAUACCGCAUGGUCGAGAACCUCGAUGGGGUUUUCGGGAAACGUGGCCUCUUAGCAAUGCUACGGCGAUGGGAGGAGCUCGCGGGCUAUCAGCUUGUUGGUGAGGUCAUGGCUCACCAAGGCGACGACGGCUACGGGGUCUGAGAGGACGACCCCGCACAUUGGAACUGAGACACGGUCCAGACUCCUACGGGAGGCAGCAGUGGGGAAUAUUGGGCAAUGGCCGAAAGGCUGACCCAGCGACGCCGCGUGUGGGAGGAAGCCCUUCGGGGUGUAAACCACUGUCAGGAGGGACGAAAGAGUCGGGGGUGAAUAAUCCUCGGCAGUGACGGUACCUCCAAAGGAAGCACCGGCUAACUCUGUGCCAGCAGCCGCGGUAAUACAGAGGGUGCGAGCGUUGUUCGGAAUUACUGGGCGUAAAGCGCGCGCAGGCGGGUCCUGUAAGUCGGAAGUGAAAUUUCGGAGCUCAACUCCGAAGCUGCUUCUGAUACUGCGGAUCUGGAGAUCGGUAGAGGUCGGUGGAAUUACAGGUGUAGCGGUGGAAUGCGUAGAUAUCUGUAAGAACACCCGUGGCGAAAGCGGCCGACUGGGCCGAAUCUGACGCUGAGCGCGAAAGCGUGGGGAGCAAACAGAUAGAUACCCUGGUAGUCACGCCGUAAACGAUGGGCACUAGGUGCCGGGGGGAGCGACCCUUCGUGCGCAGCUACGCGAUAAGUGC
RNAcentral lists this ribosomal RNA (879 nucleotides) under uncultured bacterium. RNAcentral describes it as "bacterial SSU rRNA". It matches the Rfam family "Bacterial small subunit ribosomal RNA", at positions 1 to 867 of the family's 1533-position model. The record is from RNAcentral.